GAUGAACGUUGGCGGCGUGCCUAAUACAUAGCAAGUCGAACGGAGACGGUAGCAAUACGGUCUCAGUGGCGAACGGGUGAGUAACGCGUUGGUGACCUGCCCCGAAGUGUGGAAUAACAGAUCGAAAGAGCUGCUAAUACCGCAUAAUAUCCAGAGGAUUAGAUGCCUUUGGAUUAAAGGAUUUAUUCGCUUCGGGAGGGGCCUGCGUCCCAUCAGCUAGUUGGUAAGGUAAUGGCUUACCAAGGCGAUGACGGGUAGGGGACCUGAGAGGGUGGCCCCCCACAAUGGAACUGAAACACGGUCCAUACACCUACGGGUGGCAGCAGUAGGGAAUAUUAGUAAUGGGCGAAAGCCUGAACUAGCAACGCCGCGUGUGCGAAGAAGGCCUUCGGGUUGUAAAGCACUUUUUGAGAGGAUGAGGAAGGACGGUACUCUCAGAAUAAGUCUCGGCUAACUACGUG
This 461-nucleotide ribosomal RNA is filed under the name uncultured bacterium. Its description in RNAcentral is "bacterial SSU rRNA". It matches the Rfam family "Bacterial small subunit ribosomal RNA", at positions 28 to 507 of the family's 1533-position model. The record is from RNAcentral.